GAAAGCAGGGGAUCGCAAGACCUUGCGCUUUUGGAGUGGCCGAUGCCUGAUUAGCUAGUUGGUGGGGUAAGAGCCUACCAAGGCGACGAUCAGUAGUUGGUCUGAGAGGACGACCAGCCACACUGGGACUGAGACACGGCCCAGACUCCUACGGGAGGCAGCAGUGGGGAAUUUUGGACAAUGGGCGGAAGCCUGAUCCAGCAAUGCCGCGUGAGUGAAGAAGGCCUUCGGGUUGUAAAGCUCUUUCAGUCGAGAAGAAAAGGUUGUGACUAAUAAUCGCAACUUAUGACGGUAUCGACAGAAGAAGCACCGGCUAACUACGUGCCAGCAGCCGCGGUAAUACGUAGGGUGCGAGCGUUAAUCGGAAUUACUGGGCGUAAAGGGUGCGCAGGCGGCUCUGUAAGUCAG
RNAcentral lists this ribosomal RNA (408 nucleotides) under uncultured ammonia-oxidizing beta proteobacterium. RNAcentral describes it as "bacterial SSU rRNA". It matches the Rfam family "Bacterial small subunit ribosomal RNA", at positions 202 to 591 of the family's 1533-position model. Lineage: Bacteria; Pseudomonadati; Pseudomonadota; Betaproteobacteria. The record is from RNAcentral.